AGGAACGCGUGGACAACCUACCCCGGCGUGGGGGAUACCCGCCAGAAAUGGCGGCUAAUACCGCGUACGGUCCCAUGGCGGAGGGCUGUGGGAAGAAAGCAGCGAUGCGCGCUGGGAGGGGUCUGCGGCCGAUUAGCUGGUUGGCGGGGUAGCGGCCCACCAAGGCGAUGAUCGGUAGCUGGUCUGAGAGGAUGAUCAGCCACACGGGGACUGAGACACGGCCCCG
This 226-nucleotide ribosomal RNA is filed under the name uncultured bacterium. Its description in RNAcentral is "partial 16S ribosomal RNA". It matches the Rfam family "Bacterial small subunit ribosomal RNA", at positions 109 to 334 of the family's 1533-position model. The record is from RNAcentral.